This 538-nucleotide ribosomal RNA is filed under the name Fusarium tricinctum. RNAcentral's name for it is "eukaryotic LSU rRNA". The stretch from base 152 to 305 matches the Rfam family "5.8S ribosomal RNA". Lineage: Eukaryota; Fungi; Ascomycota; Sordariomycetes; Hypocreales; Nectriaceae. The record is from RNAcentral.
UACCGAAGGGGGAACUGCCUACCCCUGUGACAUACCUUAAUGUUGCCUCGGCGGAUCAGCCCGCGCCCCGUAAAACGGGACGGCCCGCCAGAGGACCCAAACUCUAAUGUUUCUUAUUGUAACUUCUGAGUAAAACAAACAAAUAAAUCAAAACUUUCAACAACGGAUCUCUUGGUUCUGGCAUCGAUGAAGAACGCAGCAAAAUGCGAUAAGUAAUGUGAAUUGCAGAAUUCAGUGAAUCAUCGAAUCUUUGAACGCACAUUGCGCCCGCUGGUAUUCCGGCGGGCAUGCCUGUUCGAGCGUCAUUUCAACCCUCAAGCCCCCGGGUUUGGUGUUGGGGAUCGGCUCUGCCCUUCUGGGCGGUGCCGCCCCCGAAAUACAUUGGCGGUCUCGCUGCAGCCUCCAUUGCGUAGUAGCUAACACCUCGCAACUGGAACGCGGCGCGGCCAUGCCGUAAAACCCCAACUUCUGAAUGUUGACCUCGGAUCAGGUAGGAAUACCCGCUGAACUUAAGCAUAUCAAAACUCGGAGGAAGACC